CUCAGUACAAGCCAAAAUAAGGUGAAACCGCGAAAGGCUCAUUAAAUCAGUUAUGGUUCCUUAGAUCGUACCCACAUUUACUUGGAUAACUGUGGUAAUUCUAGAGCUAAUACAUGCAAACAGAGCUCCGACCGGAGACGGAAGGAGUGCUUUUAUUAGAUCAAAACCAAUCGGCGUCAGUAGCGUUUCGGCGUUAUUGUUCGUCGCACUAUUUGGUGACUCUGAAUAACUUUUGGCUGAUCGCACGGUCUAGUACCGGCGACGCAUCUUUCAAAUGUCUGCCUUAUCAACUGUCGAUGGUAGGUUCUGCGCCUACCAUGGUUGUAACGGGUAACGGGGAAUCAGGGUUCGAUUCCGGAGAGGGAGCCUGAGAAACGGCUACCACAUCCAAGGAAGGCAGCAGGCGCGCAAAUUACCCACUCCCGGCACGGGGAGGUAGUGACGAAAAAUAACGAUACGGGACUCAUCCGAGGCCCCGUAAUCGGAAUGAGUACACUUUAAAUCCUAUAACAAGGACCAAUUAGAGGGCAAGUCUGGUGCCAGCCGCCGCGGUAACUCCAGCUCUAAUAGCGUAUAUUAAAGUUGUUGCGGUUAAAAAGCUCGUAGUUGAAUCUGUGUUCCGCGCUGUCGGUUCACCGCCCGCGGUGUUUAACUGGCACGUCUCGCGGAACGUCCUGCCGGUGGAUGCGUGUCCUUUGUUCACUUGCCCAUUAUGCGUGUGCAACUUCGGUUGUUACUGUAUAGUGCGGUACGGUUCAAAUGUGUCACCAUCCGACUCAAUAAUCCUGUCGCGGUGCUCUUAAUUGAGUGUCGAGGCGGGCCGGCACGUUUACUUUGAACAAAUUAGAGUGCUCAAAGCAGGCUAAAAUUUUGCCUGAAUACUGUGUGCAUGGAAUAAUGGAACAGGACCUCGGUUCUAUUUUGUUGGUUUUCGGAACCCCGAGGUAAUGAUUAAUAGGGACAGAUGGGGGCAUUCGUAUUGCGACGUUAGAGGUGAAAUUCUUGGAUCGUCGCAGGACGGACAGAAGCGAAAGCAUUUGCCAAAAAUGUUUUCAUUAAUCAAGAACGAAAGUCAGAGGCCCGAAGGCGAUCAGAUACCGCCCUAGUUCUGACCAUAAACGAUGCCAGCUAGCGAUCCGCCGACGUUCCUCCGAUGACUCGGCGGGCAGCUUCCGGGAAACCAAAGCUUUUGGGUUCCGGGGGAAGUAUGGUUGCAAAGCUGAAACUUAAAGGAAUUGACGGAAGGGCACCACCAGGAGUGGAGCCUGCGGCUUAAUUUGACUCAACACGGGAAACCUCACCAGGCCCGGACACCGGAAGGAUUGACAGAUUGAGAGCUCUUUCUUGAUUCGGUGGGUGGUGGUGCAUGGCCG
Molecule: ribosomal RNA, 1373 nt
Filed under: Bembidion darlingtonielum
Lineage: Eukaryota; Metazoa; Arthropoda; Insecta; Coleoptera; Carabidae
Description: SSU rRNA
Rfam family: Eukaryotic small subunit ribosomal RNA
Source: RNAcentral